UGACAGACACAGAGCCUGGGGCUGGAGAUUUUCUGAGAUGCCUCAGGCUCCUUCCCACAAAUUUCGCAUCAGCUUGAGCUCAGUGGGAGUAGAAUCUGCCACCGACAAACUCCUAAGAUGGCUUUGUUCAUUCCCACCUUCAUCAUAAAUCAGGUUGGGGUGGAGAAGCAAUAUCCCUAAGGGAAAAAUAAAAGUCUCCAAGCUAGGACUUUCAGCCUGGGGCCUGACAUUGCACAGAAAAUGGCCACUGCAGUCUCACAGGAACGCAGCCAGUCAAUGGUUUUCCUGAAACAAACUCUCAUCAUCUGAGAGAACCUGCAUGCACCUCUGCUCCCUGCACCCCAGAGGGAACCAGCAGUGUGCCCUGGGAAAAGCUGGGGCCCCACAGGUCCCAGUCUCUGAACAGGGUCUCGUAUAAAGAAGCACCGUCCAGCAACUAUUGCAGCAUUCACUGGCAUCUCGAAGACAGUAUCAACGAGUAUCUACAUCACAACCCGUAACCUCGCUCCUCAAGUUCCCUGUCCUCCCCUCCCAACCCCUGUACCCACAGCUGAUCGUGAGCCUCACACCCACCCACCUCCAGCAGUGCCAGAUUCACUCCUUACUUCCCCACUCUCUUCAUAUGGAGAGUGACAGCUUCCCUAGGUCGUAGAAGAAAACAACAUGGACCACUUGCCAGCGUCUCUUUGAACAGAGAAGCUACUGCUGUCUAAGGUGGAACUCAUGACUGAGACCUGAGCCUAUCAGCCGGUCACGUGAUCCUGGCCCAGGGCUAUUGGCUGUGGGAAGUGGAUGCUGCCCGCCCUGUUGUCCUGUGGGAGCUUGAGGGGAUGUACAUCUGGCAUUGCUGGCAGGCAUUUUGUUCCCAUGAGGGAAGAGUCUGGGAGAGAAGCAACCUGGUGGAGAGUGGGCCUAAGACACGGAGAGAGGAUGUUGAUGCCGUGAGUUCCCAAUCCCGCCGCGCCCGUCAGACUUACCCUCAGC
This 984-nucleotide long non-coding RNA is filed under the name Homo sapiens (human). Its description in RNAcentral is "HSALNT0401991". Lineage: Eukaryota; Metazoa; Chordata; Mammalia; Primates; Hominidae. The record is from RNAcentral.